RNAcentral lists this ribosomal RNA (471 nucleotides) under Bacillus sp. NpR-1. Its description in RNAcentral is "bacterial SSU rRNA". It matches the Rfam family "Bacterial small subunit ribosomal RNA", at positions 63 to 518 of the family's 1533-position model. The record is from RNAcentral. Lineage: Bacteria; Bacillati; Bacillota; Bacilli; Caryophanales; Bacillaceae.
CGAGCGAUCGAUGGGAGCUUGCUCCCUGAGAUUAGCGGCGGACGGGUGAGUAACACGUGGGCAACCUGCCUAUAAGACUGGGAUAACUUCGGGAAACCGGAGCUAAUACCGGAUACGUUCUUUUCUCGCAUGAGAGAAGAUGGAAAGACGGUUUACGCUGUCACUUAUAGAUGGGCCCGCGGCGCAUUAGCUAGUUGGUGAGGUAAUGGCUCACCAAGGCGACGAUGCGUAGCCGACCUGAGAGGGUGAUCGGCCACACUGGGACUGAGACACGGCCCAGACUCCUACGGGAGGCAGCAGUAGGGAAUCUUCCGCAAUGGACGAAAGUCUGACGGAGCAACGCCGCGUGAACGAAGAAGGCCUUCGGGUCGUAAAGUUCUGUUGUUAGGGAAGAACAAGUACCAGAGUAACUGCUGGUACCUUGACGGUACCUAACCAGAAAGCCACGGCUAACUACGUGCCAGCAGCCGC